RNAcentral lists this long non-coding RNA (2974 nucleotides) under Sus scrofa (pig). Its description in RNAcentral is "lncRNA (ENSSSCG00060023971.1)". The record is from RNAcentral. Lineage: Eukaryota; Metazoa; Chordata; Mammalia; Artiodactyla; Suidae.
UUUUUUUUUUUUUUUUCUUUUUUGGCUUUUUGCCUUUUCCAUGGCCGCUCCUGCAGCAUAUGGAGUUUCCCAGGCUAGGGGUUGAAUUGGAGCUGUAGCCGCCGGCCUACACCGGAGCCACAGCAACUCGGGAUCCGAGCUGUGUCUUUGACCUACACCACAGCUCACGGCAAUGCCAGAUCCUUAACCCACUGAGCAAGGCCAGGGAUCGAACCCGCAACCUCAUGGUUCCUAGUUGGAUUUGUUAACCACUGAGCCACGACGGGAACUCCAUGUUGAGCGUUUUUUCAUGUACCUGUUGGCCAUCUGUAUAUCUUCUUUGGAGAAACGUCUAUUUGGGCCUUACGCCUGUGUUUUUGUUUUUGUUUUUGUUUUUUUUUUUGUCUUUUUGCCAUUUCUUGGGCCGCUCUCACGGCAUGUGGAAGUUCCCAGGCUAGGGGUCCUAUUGGAGCUGUAGCCUCAGGCCUACGUCACAGCCAUAGCAACACGGGAACCGAGCUACAUCUGCAACCCACACCACAGCUCACAACAACGCCGGAUCCUUAACCCACUGAGCAAGGCCAGGGAUUGAACCUGCAACCUCAUGGUUCCCAGUUAGAUUCGUUAACCACUGAGCCACAAUGGGAACUCCAGGAGUGUGAUUUUAAAAGUUAUUUUUAUGUUUUCUAAUAUUUCAUUGUUAAUAUACAGAAAUGCAACUGAUUUCUGAGUGUUAAUCUUGUAUCCUGCUACUUUGCUGAUUGGGUAGUUUUUAUUUGGAGUCCUUAGAGUUUUCUAUAUAUAAUAUCAUGCCAUCUGCAUAUAGUGACAUUUUUACCUCUUUUCUAAUUUGGAUACCUUUUUUUCUUUUAAAUUUAAAUCUGAUUGUUGUGGCUAGGACUUCUAAUAUGAUGAGGAUGUUGAAUAGAAGUAGUGUGUGUGGGCAUCUUUGUCUUGUUCCAGAUUUUAGCAGGAAGGCUUUUAGCUUUUCUCUGUUGAGUAUUUUAUUGGCUGUGGGUUUGUCAUAAACAGCUUUUAUUAUGUUAAGAUAUGUUCACUCUAUACCCACUUUGGUAAAAGUUUUUAUCAUGAAAGGAUGCUGGAUUUUAUCAAAUGCUUUUUCUGUAUCCAUUGAUUAAUCAUGUGGUUUUCGACUUUUCUUCUUUGUUGAAGUGGUAUGUUGCAUUGUUGAUUUGUGAUGUUGAACCAUCCUUGUGAACUUUUGAUGAAGCCCACUUGGUCACUGUGUAUGACCUUUUUUGUGUGCUGUUGGAUUCUGUUUGCUAGAUUUUUUUUUUUUCCUUCACUUUUUAGGGUUGCGCCUGUGGCAUAUGGAUGUUUCCUGGCUAGGGACUGAAUCGGAGCUGCAGCUGCUGGCCUACAGCAACGCCAGAUCUGAGCCACAUCUGUGACCUACACCAUAGCUAACAGCAACACCUGAUCUUUAACUUACUGAGUGAGGCCAGGGAUUGAACACUCUUAGUCAGGUUCAUUACCGCUGAGGCACAAUGGGAAUUCUGUUUGCUGAAGUUUUCUUGAGAAUUUUUGCGUCUGUGUUUAUCAAAGACAUUGGCUUGUAAUUUUCUUUUUUGGUAGUAUCUUUGUCUGGUUUUGGUAUUAGGGUGAUGGCGGCUUCAUAGAAUGUUUUUGGGAAUGUUCCUUCUUCAGUCUUUUGGACAGGUUUAAUAAGGAGGAUUGGUGUAAGUUGUUUGUGUGUUUGGUAGAAUUGCCUGUGAAGCCAUCUGGUCCUUGACUUUUGUUUGUAGGAGUUUUUUAAACUGCAUAUUCAAUUUCAUCUCCAGUGAUUGGUCUGUUCAAAUGAUGUAUUUCUUCUUGAGUCAGUUUUGGAGGGCUGUAUGUUUCUAGAAAGUUGUCCAUUUCCAGAUUCAAUUUUUUGAGGAACCUCUAUACUGUUCUCCUUAGUGGUUGCACCAGCUUACAUUUCCACCAGCAGUGCGUGAGUGUUCCCCUGUCCUCACAUCCUCACUAACACAUUAUUUGUUGUCAAAAAUUUGAUGACAGCCAUUCUGACAAAUGGGAGGUGGUAUCUCAUUGUCGUUUUGAUUUGCAUUUCUUCAAAGAUUAAUGAUGUUGAGCAUCUUUUCAUGUGUCCAUUAGUCAUCUGUAUGUCCUUUUUGGGAAAACGUCUAUUCUGGUGUUCUGCCCACUUAAAAGUUUGAAUUGUUUGGGUUUUUUGGUAUUGGGUUAUAUAGGUUCUUUCUAUAUUUUGGAUAUUAAUUCCUUAAUGGAUAUAUCAUUUGCAAAUAUCUUCUCCCAAUUCAUUAGGUUGCCUUUUUGUCUUGAUGGUGUUUUUCACUGUGCAAAAGCAUUUACAUUUGAUGUAGUACCAUUUGUUUAUUUUUCUAUGUAUAGUAUCAUGUCAUCUGCAAACACUUUUCUUUCUUUUCCAAUUUGGAUUCCUUUUCUUUACUUUUUUUUCUCUAGUUGCCAUGGCUAGGACUUCCAAAACUAAGUUGAAUAAAAGUGAGAGUGGAUCCUUAUCUUGUUCCUCAUCUUAGUGGAAAUUCUUUCAGCUUUUCAGCAUUGAGAAUGAUGUUAGCUGUAGGUUUGUCAUAUAUGGCCUAUUUUUUAUUUUUAUUUUAUUAUUUAUUAUUAUUAUUGUUUAUUUUUUUGUCUUUUUGCCAUUUCUUGGGCCGCUCCCGUGGCAUAUGGAGGUUCCCAGACUAGGGGUCCAAUCAGAGCUGUAGCCGCUGGCCUACGCCAGAGCCACAGCAAUGCAGGAUCCGAGCCGCGUCUGCAACCUACACCACAGCUCAUGGCAACGCCAGGUCCUUAACCCACUGAGCAAGGGCAGGGAUCGAACCCGCAACCUCAUGGUUCCUAGUCAGAUUCGUUAACCACUGAGUCACCACGGGAACUCCUGGCCUAUUUUUUAUAUUGAGGUAAGUGCCCUUUGUGCUCACUUUCUGGAGGUGGGUUUUUUUGCUUUUUAGGGCUGCACUGCCCUAAACCAAAAAAAAAAAAAAAAAAAAAA